AUCGGACUUCUGGUAAGUAGUUUCUGUCCCCUUGCGUUACGUUUUCUUUUCUUUUGUUUUUCUUAAUCUUCUUUUUUUUCCAUAGCUCAGCUGGGGGUGGAGUAAAACUAACGAAAGGAAACGAGCAACUAAAACACGAAAGUGGCGCUUAAGCGCCUUGCUGCCAUUGGUCGGUGCCUUAGUGCUGGGGGCGUGGUAUGGGCCAAGGGGGAUGAGAGAUGACUUCAAAUCAAAAUCCAAAUAGCGCAAACAAACUGCAAGAAAGACAGCCCGCUACAGAUGCCAAAAUUGCUUUUGCACAAAUUUCUCAUUUGCGUAAUUGACAUGCAUGGAAUGGAACUUUGUCGCAAGUGUUUUGUUUGCAAGUAGAAAUAUAUUACGGCAUUCGAAAACUCUUCCCUCCCCACGAAAAUCAAACAAAUCUCAAGGCAUGCCGCAAAUUGACUGACUGACUGGCAGAAGGACUCCCACCCACAACUGUCUCAAUAAAGUGAAAAACUGACAAUACUCCCCGGCUAUACCUGGGACAAUUUGCAAUCCAACGCAUCUGUCGCUGGCAACAUGUGGCGUCAAUGAUGUUCCUGCCUCUCCUCUCCCCAGGCCCCAUCCAAUUCCACUUGACAAUUGCCAACAAAGCGCACGUAAAGCGAUUACAGUCUGCGUGAGUGCAUGGAAAUGGAAAUGGAUGCCGGUCCGGAGAGAGUCCUCCUGCAGCUUACAGCCAGCUCCUCCACAUCUGUGUGUGUGUGUGUGUGUGUGUAUGUUGUUUGUAUGUGUCCCUGACGGAUAUUUGGCAAAUCCGAUGCCGACGCCAGCGGCACUUAAGCUGCUCAAAUAUGUCCCCAUUGUGCGGAUUGCCAGCAACAGCAAAGUGUUUGCAAAAUAUGCACUGGAAGUCCCAAUGUGUGGCAGGCAGAGCUACAAGAUUUGUUUUAAAUAUAUGGCAG
Molecule: long non-coding RNA, 947 nt
Filed under: Drosophila guanche
Lineage: Eukaryota; Metazoa; Arthropoda; Insecta; Diptera; Drosophilidae
Source: RNAcentral